UGGUGNACAUUAUAUGUGUGUACAUGUGCUCGCCGCCACACUCUUCAUCCACUCUCAACCCCUGUGCACCUUAUCAGAGUUAGUAGUUGUGAUUGUAGCAGCCCUUGGCUCUACUGUAACAAUGAACACUUUGACAUUACAAACACGUAUCCUGUGAAUGUGAAUGUGUGUCAUGCUCCUUGUGAGUAUAAUACAAAUAAAUACAACUUUCAACAACGGAUCUCUUGGCUCUCGCAUCGAUGAAGAACGCAGCGAAAUGCGAUAAGUAAUGUGAAUUGCAGAAUUCAGUGAAUCAUCGAAUCUUUGAACGCACCUUGCGCCCCUUGGUAUUCCGAGGGGCAUGCCUGUUUGAGUGUCAUUAUCCUUCUCAAUCCCCCCGUUUCUUAAUUGAAACAAGGGGCUUGGACUUUGGAGUAUGCUGGUACUACGCUUUGUUUGUAUCGGCUCCUCUUAAAUGUAUUAGCUAGACUUGUAGUCUGCGUUGUUUGGUGUAAUAGUUUUCUAAUCUAUAUUCACUACAGNGCUUACUUAGACUGUCUGCUUCUAACAAGUCCGCCUCUGUGUCGGACAAGGUGACUUUGUUACCUUUUUUUUCCAAACUCUUUGACCUCAAAUCAGGUAGGACUACCCGCUGAACUUAAGCAUNNCA
Molecule: ribosomal RNA, 649 nt
Filed under: Phellinus sp. BRFM 908
Lineage: Eukaryota; Fungi; Basidiomycota; Agaricomycetes; Hymenochaetales; Hymenochaetaceae
Description: eukaryotic LSU rRNA
Rfam family: 5.8S ribosomal RNA (bases 205-358)
Source: RNAcentral